UUAUCACAUACGGGAGAGACUACAGACUAAUGUAGCGCCGAAGGAGCAACCACCCAGGAAUCUCUCAGGCAAAAGGACCGUACCAUAUUA
This 90-nucleotide non-coding RNA is filed under the name SAR86 cluster. Its description in RNAcentral is "Glycine sequence". It matches the Rfam family "Glycine riboswitch aptamer". Rfam says of the family: This family represents the bacterial glycine riboswitch. The record is from RNAcentral. Lineage: Bacteria; Pseudomonadati; Pseudomonadota; Gammaproteobacteria.